Molecule: long non-coding RNA, 236 nt
Organism: Lucilia cuprina (Australian sheep blowfly)
Lineage: Eukaryota; Metazoa; Arthropoda; Insecta; Diptera; Calliphoridae
Exons: 2
Source: RefSeq, a predicted model, not a curated record
UGUCGUUUUGGUUUUUGUUUUUAGUUUAUUUGCAGUGAGUUACGUGUACAAAGAAAAAUAUUAAGAAAAUGGCGUAUGCUGUUGGAAACGUAAUUCUAGCAAUUACAUCUAUUGUUUUUGCGAUACGUAUUGGAUGUGGAGGUUCCUUCUUGCGUACUUGAACAAAGCAAGUCUGAAAAUAAAUGAAAAAAAAAUUGUUAAAUAUAAAAUAUUUUGUUUAUUAAAAUAAAAGUUAA